AUGCUGUCAGCAGCCAAAAAGAGUUUAUGCAUCGAGGAUGCAUCGUCCCCGGCGCCCGGGAUGGCUGGCUUUUCGACAACCACCUGUGUUCUCUUCAUCAUUUUCUUCUACCUCCCAGCUCCUGCUGUCUCCCUGUCCUUCAACUACUCCACUUUCAGCUCGGCAGACCAGAACGACAUCAAGAUCGAAGGCGACGCAUCCUUCAGCGUCGGAUGGAUCGACAUCAGCGCCAACAGGUUCGGUAAUAUCGACUACAGCAAUGGCCGGGCGUCGUACAACGCCAGGCCGAUGCUGCUCUGGGACAAGGCGACAGGCGAGGUGGCCAGCUUCACCACGCGGUUCUCGUUCGCCAUCUCCGGCGACAUCAACAGCAAGGGGCAAGGGAUGGCCUUCUUCCUUGCCGCCUACCCAUCUAGCCUCCCUGCCCGCUGCAUCGAUUACAACCUCGCCCUCACCAACCAGAGCGCGGACGCCGUGGCGUCCGGGGACAGCCGGUUCGUGGCGGUGGAGUUCGACACAUACAACAAUACGGUGGUGUCCGACCCCCGUGAGACCUACGACCACAUAGGCAUCGAUAUCAGCUCCCUCCGGUCGGUGAGCACGCUGACCCUGCCGAGCUUCGAGCUCACGGACAACCUGACUGUCAUGAUCGAGUACGACAAUGUUAGCAGCAUCUUGGCGGUGACUGUAUGGGUCGAUGAUGAUAGAUCCGGCCAAGCAAGGGACAGGAAUUACAGCCUUAGAUCCAAGGUUGACCUCAAGAGUGCACUGCCGGAGCAGGUCUCUGUUGGCUUCUCCGCGUCCACAUCCAAUGCCAUCGAACUGCAUCAGCUACGCUCUUGGUCCUUCAGCUCUUCGUUGGAACCGCCGCCGCCGCCGCCACCACCACCAGUAGCAACAUCCUCCCCGUCAAGGCCGGGCCCUGGAGUUAUAGCUGGGGCAGCUGCUGGCGCAACAUUGUUCCUCGUGCUCCUCUUUGCUGCCACAGCAGCACUCGUAGUGCGGCGCCGCCAUCGCCAGAAAAUCGUGGAGACGGAGGAGCACUACACAGACUCGGAAGGCGAAGGUGACCCGAUGAUGGAGAUCGAGAUGGGGACGGGGCCAAGGCGAUUUCCGUACCAAGAGCUUGUGGAAGCGACCAGGAACUUCGCCGCGGAGGAGAAGCUUGGGCAAGGUGGCUUUGGUGCGGUUUACCGAGGCUACCUGAGAGAGCCAUCUGGGCUUGCCGUGGCCAUCAAGAGGUUCUCCAAGCAUGAGUCCUCCCUGCAAGGAAGGAGGGAAUACAAGUCGGAGAUCAAGGUGAUAAGCAGGCUGCGCCACCAGAACCUGGUGCAGCUCCUCGGCUGGUGCCAUGGCCGUGAGGAGCUCCUGCUGGUCUAUGAGCUCAUGCCCAACCGCAGCCUUGACAUCCAUCUCCAUGGCAAGCACGGUACCUUCUUGACAUGGCCGAUGAGGAUGAAGAUAUUGCUGGAGCUUGGAUCCGCGCUGCUCUACCUCCACGAGGAGUGGGAGCAGUGCGUGCUGCACCGGGACAUCAAGCCCAGCAACGUGAUGCUGGAUGAGUCCUUCGGAGCCAAGCUCGGGGACUUUGGGCUCGCGAGGCUUGUCGACCACGCCGCUGGGACGCAGACGAUGACUGCAGUCUCAGGGACACCGGGCUACUUAGACCCCCAGUGCAUCGUCACCGGCAGGGCCAGCACCGAGUCCGACAUGUACAGCUUCGGCAUGGUGCUGCUGGAGGUGGCGUGCGGCAGGAAGCCGAUGAGCAUGAUCCCGUCAGACGAGGACUAG
RNAcentral lists this ribosomal RNA (1791 nucleotides) under Triticum aestivum (bread wheat). Its description in RNAcentral is "partial small subunit ribosomal RNA". The record is from RNAcentral. Lineage: Eukaryota; Viridiplantae; Streptophyta; Magnoliopsida; Poales; Poaceae.